UACGUAGGGUGCGAGCGUUGUCCGGAAUUACUGGGCGUAAAGAGCUCGUAGGUGGUUUGUCGCGUUGUUCGUGAAAUCUCACGGCUUAACUGUGAGCGUGCGGGCGAUACGGGCAGACUAGAGUACUGCAGGGGAGACUGGAAUUCCUGGUGUAGCGGUGGAAUGCGCAGAUAUCAGGAGGAGCACCGGUGGCGAAGGCGGGUCUCUGGGCAGUAACUGACGCUGAGGAGCGAAAGCGUGGGGAGCGAACAGG
Molecule: ribosomal RNA, 253 nt
Filed under: uncultured bacterium
Lineage: Bacteria
Description: partial 16S ribosomal RNA
Rfam family: Bacterial small subunit ribosomal RNA
Source: RNAcentral